UCCCUUGUAGCUCAAUCAGUAAAGAAUCUGUCUGCAAUACAGGAGACCUGGGUUUGAUUCCUGGGUUAGGGAA
Bos taurus (domestic cattle) is the source of this 73-nucleotide non-coding RNA. The record is from Rfam. Lineage: Eukaryota; Metazoa; Chordata; Mammalia; Artiodactyla; Bovidae.